GAUGAAGAACGCAGCGAAAUGCGAUACGUAAUGUGAAUUGCAGAAUUCAGUGAAUCAUCGAAUCUUUGAACGCAUAUUGCGCUCUUUGGUAUUCCGAAGAGCAUGCUUGUUUGAGUAUCAGUAAACACCUCAAAGCUUUUGGAUUUUUUAAUCGAAAAGCUUUGGACUUGAGCAAUCCCAACACCAAUCUUUUUGAGAUCGGUGGCGGGUUGCUUGAAAUGCAGGUGCAGCUGGACAUUCUCCUGAGCUAAAAGCAUAUUCAUUUAGUCCCGUCAAACGGAUUAUUACUUUUGCUGCAGCUAACAUAAAGGGAGUUUGACCGUAUUGGCUGACUGAUGCAGGAUUUCACAAGGGUCGGCAACGAUUCUUGUUAAACUCGAUCUCAAAUCAAGUAAGACUACCCGCUGAACUUAAGCAUAUCAAUAACGGAGGA
Molecule: unclassified non-coding RNA, 433 nt
Filed under: soil metagenome
Description: partial contains 5.8S ribosomal RNA, internal transcribed spacer 2, and large subunit ribosomal RNA
Rfam family: 5.8S ribosomal RNA (bases 1-120)
Source: RNAcentral